UGAAAGACAUGGGUAGUGAGACGUGUGCUCUGCGAUCGUGUCACUAUUCUGUUUUUCGCC
Molecule: microRNA precursor, 60 nt
Filed under: Panagrellus redivivus
Lineage: Eukaryota; Metazoa; Nematoda; Chromadorea; Rhabditida; Panagrolaimidae
Description: microRNA prd-mir-71 precursor
Gene: prd-mir-71
Rfam family: mir-71 microRNA precursor family
Source: miRBase by way of RNAcentral